Molecule: long non-coding RNA, 290 nt
Filed under: Lathyrus oleraceus (garden pea)
Lineage: Eukaryota; Viridiplantae; Streptophyta; Magnoliopsida; Fabales; Fabaceae
Description: Pisum sativum (pea) long non-coding RNA (PSAT_LNC012976)
Source: RNAcentral
UCAAUCAUGUAAAACAUGUAACAUUCACAUGUAAAUUAUUCAACAACAUAAAACAUCCAUCCCGAUGUGACAUCUAUCAGAGCACGACCCACUAAGGAGACUACACUAGACUCCAAGCAUUCGCUUCUACUCAACUCAUUUCUCGUUACCUGAAAAAUAGUUGUAAGGGUGAGUUCCUCAAUCAAUAUAAUAAGCAUUAUAGAAUAUAAUGUCAUGUUAAGCAAUUUAACACAUUAAUCACCCUAAUCGCAACAUACAAUCAGUAACAACACAUCAGCUCAACCUCAUAC